Molecule: regulatory RNA element, 87 nt
Organism: Candidatus Accumulibacter sp. SK-11
Lineage: Bacteria; Pseudomonadati; Pseudomonadota; Betaproteobacteria
Rfam family: Glycine riboswitch aptamer
About the family: This family represents the bacterial glycine riboswitch. Glycine riboswitches usually consist of two metabolite-binding aptamers domains with similar structures in tandem.
Source: Rfam
UCGCCGCGAAUGGGAGAGAGCGGCACUGCCGUCGCCGAAGGCGCAAUCCACCCGGAAACGCUCAGGCAAGAGGACCGUUCGUGCAAU